Molecule: ribosomal RNA, 402 nt
Filed under: bacterium
Lineage: Bacteria
Description: partial 16S ribosomal RNA
Rfam family: Bacterial small subunit ribosomal RNA
Source: RNAcentral
UGGGGAAUUUUGCACAAUGGGGGAAACCCUGAUGCAGCGACGCCGCGUGAUUUAGAAGGCCUUCGGGUUGUAAAAAUCUUUUCUAUGGGAAGAAAAUGACAGUACCAUAGGAAUAAGGACCGGCUAAAUACGUGCCAGCAGCCGCGGUAAUACGUAAGGUCCGAGCGUUGUCCGGAAUCAUUGGGCGUAAAGGGUACGUAGGCGGGUAAGCAAGUUAGAAGUGAAAUCCUAUAGCUCAACUAUAGUAAGCUUUUAAAACUGCUCAUCUUGGGGUAUGGAAGGGAGAGUGGAAUUCCUAGUGUAGCGGUGAAAUGCGCAGAUAUUAGGAGGAAUACCGGUGGCGAAGGCGACUUUCUGGCCAUAACCUGACGCUGAGGUACGAAAGCGUGUGUAGCAAACAGG